RNAcentral lists this ribosomal RNA (253 nucleotides) under uncultured bacterium. Its description in RNAcentral is "partial 16S ribosomal RNA". It matches the Rfam family "Bacterial small subunit ribosomal RNA", at positions 524 to 776 of the family's 1533-position model. The record is from RNAcentral.
UACGUAGGGUGUGAGCGUUGCCCGGAUUUAUUGGGCGUAAAGGGCGCGUAGGCGGCCACGCACGUCCGUUGUGAAAUCGCCCGGCUCAACUGGGCGGGGUCAGCGGAUACGGUGUGGCUAGAGCAAGCUAGGGGGCAAUGGAAUUCCCGGUGUAGUGGUGGAAUGCGUAGAUAUCGGGAGGAACACCAGUGGCGAAGGCGGUUGCCUGGAGCUUUGCUGACGCUGAUGCGCGAAAGCGUGGGGAGCGAUCCGG